This 402-nucleotide ribosomal RNA is filed under the name uncultured Sulfurovum sp. RNAcentral describes it as "bacterial SSU rRNA". It matches the Rfam family "Bacterial small subunit ribosomal RNA", at positions 355 to 774 of the family's 1533-position model. The record is from RNAcentral. Lineage: Bacteria; Pseudomonadati; Campylobacterota; Epsilonproteobacteria; Campylobacterales; Sulfurovaceae.
UGGGGAAUAUUGCACAAUGGAGGAAACUCUGAUGCAGCAACGCCGCGUGGAGGAUGACGCAUUUCGGUGUGUAAACUCCUUUUAUAUAGGAAGAUAAUGACGGUACUAUAUGAAUAAGCACCGGCUAACUCCGUGCCAGCAGCCGCGGUAAUACGGAGGGUGCAAGCGUUACUCGGAAUCACUGGGCGUAAAGCGCGCGCAGGCGGCUUUGUAAGUUGGAUGUGAAAUCCUAUGGCUCAACCAUAGAACUGCAUCCAAAACUACUUAGCUAGAGUCUGGGAGGGGAAGAUGGAAUUAGUGGUGUAGGGGUAAAAUCCGUAGAGAUCACUAGGAAUACCAAAAGCGAAGGCGAUCUUCUGGAACAGUACUGACGCUGAGGCGCGAAAGCGUGGGGAGCAAACA